CUAGCGAGACUGCCGGUAAUAAACCGGGAGGGAAGGUGGGGAUGACGUCAAAUCAUCAUGCCCCUUAUGACCUGGGCUACACACGUGCUACAACGGUUGGUACAACGAGUUGCGAGUCGGUGACGGCGAGCUAAUCUCUUAAAGCCAAUCUCAGUUCGGAUUGUAGGCUGCAACUCGCCUACAUGAAGUCGGAAUCGCUAGUAAUCGCGGAUCAGCACGCCGCGGUGAAUACGUUCCCGGGCCUU
RNAcentral lists this ribosomal RNA (245 nucleotides) under uncultured Streptococcus sp. RNAcentral's name for it is "partial 16S ribosomal RNA". It matches the Rfam family "Bacterial small subunit ribosomal RNA", at positions 1140 to 1382 of the family's 1533-position model. Lineage: Bacteria; Bacillati; Bacillota; Bacilli; Lactobacillales; Streptococcaceae. The record is from RNAcentral.